This 468-nucleotide ribosomal RNA is filed under the name uncultured bacterium. RNAcentral describes it as "partial 16S ribosomal RNA". It matches the Rfam family "Bacterial small subunit ribosomal RNA", at positions 28 to 507 of the family's 1533-position model. The record is from RNAcentral.
GACGAACGCUGGCGGCGUGCUUAACACAUGCAAGUCGAACGGAAAGGCCCUGCUUUUGUGGGGUGCUCGAGUGGCGAACGGGUGAGUAACACGUGAGUAACCUGCCCUUGACUUUGGGAUAACUUCAGGAAACUGGGGCUAAUACCGGAUAGGAGCUCCUGCUGCAUGGUGGGGGUUGGAAAGUUUCGGCGGUUGGGGAUGGACUCGCGGCUUAUCAGCUUGUUGGUGGGGUAGUGGCUUACCAAGGCUUUGACGGGUAGCCGGCCUGAGAGGGUGACCGGCCACAUUAGGACUGAGAUACGGCCCAGACUCCUACGGGAGGCAGAAGUGGGGAAUAUUGCACAAUGGGCGGAAGCCUGAUGCAGCAACGCCGCGUGCGGGAUGACGGCCUUCGGGUUGUAAACCGCUUUCGCCUGUGACGAAGCGUGAGUGACGGUAAUGGGUAAAGAAGCACCGGCUAACUACGUG